Molecule: ribosomal RNA, 666 nt
Filed under: uncultured fungus
Lineage: Eukaryota; Fungi
Description: eukaryotic LSU rRNA
Rfam family: Eukaryotic large subunit ribosomal RNA
Source: RNAcentral
CCCGCUGAACUUAAGCAUAUCAAUAAGCGGAGGAAAAGAAACUAACAAGGAUUCCCCUAGUAACGGCGAGUGAAGAGGGAAGAGCUCAAAUUUUGAAUCUGGCGUCUCUGGCGUCCGAAUUGUAAUCUAGAGAAGUGUUUUCCGUGACGGACCGUGCACAAGUCUCCUGGAAUGGAGCGUCAUAGAGGGUGAGAAUCCCGUAUAUGGCAUGGACUCCCGUUGCUCUGUGAUACACUCUCGACGAGUCGAGUUGUUUGGGAAUGCAGCUCCAAAUGGGUGGUAAAUGCCAUCUAAAGCUAAAUACUGGCGAGAGACCGAUAGCGAACAAGUACCGUGAGGGAAAGAUGAAAAGCACUUUGGAAAGAGAGUGAAACAGUACGUGAAAUUGUUGAAAGGGAAACGCUUGAAGUCAGUCGCGUCGACCGAGACUCAGCCUCGCCUUGGCUUGGUGUACUUCUCGGCUGACGGGUCAGCAUCAAUUUCGAUCCUUGGAUAAUGGCAAGGGAAAGGUAGCACCUUUACAGGUGUGUUAUAGUCCUUUGUCGGAUGCAAGGGUUGGGAUUGAGGAACUCAGCACGCACCUCAUCGGUGUCGGGGCCUUUUGGCCUACGUUACGUGCUUAGGAUGCUGGCAUAAUGGCUUUAAACGACCCGUCUUGAAACACGG